GCAAAACGCGAAGAACCUUACCAGGUCUUGACAUCCUCUGACAACUCUAGAGAUAGAGCGUUCCCCUUCGGGGGACAGAGUGACAGGUGGUGCAUGGUUGUCGUCAGCUCGUGUCGUGAGAUGUUGGGUUAAGUCCCGCAACGAGCGCAACCCUUGAUCUUAGUUGCCAGCAUUUAGUUGGGCACUCUAAGGUGACUGCCGGUGACAAACCGGAGGAAGGUGGGGACGACGUCAAAUCAUCAUGCCCCUUAUGACCUGGGCUACACACGUGCUACAAUGGAUGGUACAAAGGGCUGCAAGACCGCGAGGUCAAGCCAAUCCCAUAAAACCAUUCUCAGUUCGGAUUGUAGGCUGCAACUCGCCUACAUGAAGCUGGAAUCGCUAGUAAUCGCGGAUCAGCAUGCCGCGGUGAAUACGUUCCCGGGUCUUGUACACACCG
Molecule: ribosomal RNA, 439 nt
Filed under: uncultured bacterium
Lineage: Bacteria
Description: bacterial SSU rRNA
Rfam family: Bacterial small subunit ribosomal RNA
Source: RNAcentral